Molecule: long non-coding RNA, 479 nt
Filed under: Chinchilla lanigera (long-tailed chinchilla)
Lineage: Eukaryota; Metazoa; Chordata; Mammalia; Rodentia; Chinchillidae
Description: lncRNA (ENSCLAG00000025166.1)
Source: RNAcentral
GAACCAAAAACAUUCAAGGAUGAGUGGAGACAGCUGGGUCCUCCGUAGAGGAAUCUCAGUAAGAAGUGAUGUUGCUGAGCCGUAGGAAUCUGGUCUGUGUGGCGUGAGUGAUACUGUUGUGAAGGAUGAAACAGCUGGCAUCUUGUCUCAGAGAUGGAAGAGACAUCAGCACAUACUAUAUGAUUGCUUGCCAGAAGGCAGCCAUUUGUGAUGUGCUCUUUACAACGAUGGAGGGAUUCAGGUACAGCGCCCUGUCCUCAGGGUGGUGCUGUUGCACCGAUGGAAUCUGUGGAAGUGGACCAGGUCAGGGCGUCUGUGCUAGCAGAACAGCCGCCUGUGGUUCGUCUAGGAUGAAGUUAGAUCUCAUCAGAGCUGAUGAUCGUAAAGCAAGGCCAGCCCACGCUCACCCUCUCUCAGCCUUUUCUGCUUCCACUUCUGUGCCAGGUUGUGGCGCAGCCGAGUGGCGGGAGAGUCAGUAG